Molecule: ribosomal RNA, 375 nt
Filed under: uncultured bacterium
Lineage: Bacteria
Description: bacterial SSU rRNA
Rfam family: Bacterial small subunit ribosomal RNA
Source: RNAcentral
GAAUUCGAUUCAGGCCUAACACAUGCAAGUCGAGCGGGGUUUCCGGACCUAGCGAAGGACGGGUGAGUAAUGCGUAGGAAGCUACCCGAUAGAGGGGGAUACCAGUUGGAAACGACUGUUAAUACCGCAUAAUGUCUACGGACCAAAGUGUGGGACCUUCGGGCCACAUGCUAUCGGAUGCGCCUACGUGGGAUUAGCUAGUUGGUGAGGUAAUGGCUCACCAAGGCGACGAUCUCUAGCUGGUUUGAGAGGAUGAUCAGCCACACUGGAACUGAGGCACGGUCCAGACUCCUACGGGAGGCAGCAGUGGGGAAUAUUGGACAAUGGGCGCAAGCCUGAUCCAUCCAAGGGGCGUGUGUGAAGAAGGCCUUCGGG